AAUAAGUGUAGUUUUGUAUUGUUUAUGUUCAACGUUUGACCGUUCGUCUUAUUUAAAAUUUUUUAUGAUUAGUAUUUUUAUUGUUAUUAUAUGAUAAAAUAUGAAUAGCACUUUAUGUGUGACUAUUUUUUUUAAUUUUUCAUAAAUUUUAAAAUAAGACGAACGGUCAAACGUUAGAUAUGGAUACUUCAAGGCUACACUUAUU
Non-coding RNA from Oryza meridionalis, 205 nucleotides. Lineage: Eukaryota; Viridiplantae; Streptophyta; Magnoliopsida; Poales; Poaceae. The record is from Rfam.